This 612-nucleotide ribosomal RNA is filed under the name uncultured bacterium. Its description in RNAcentral is "bacterial SSU rRNA". It matches the Rfam family "Bacterial small subunit ribosomal RNA", at positions 231 to 859 of the family's 1533-position model. The record is from RNAcentral.
CUGCGGCGGAUUAGCUAGUUGGUGGGGUAACGGCCUACCAAGGCGAUGAUCCGUAGGGGGCGUGAGAGCGUGGCCCCCCACACUGGCACUGAGAUACGGGCCAGACUCCUACGGGAGGCAGCAGUGAGGAAUAUUGCACAAUGGGCGCAAGCCUGAUGCAGCAACGCCGCGUGCGGGACGAAGGCCUUCGGGUCGUAAACCGCUUUUCUGGGGAAAGAGCAAGGACGGUACCUCAGGAAUAAGUCUCGGCUAACUACGUGCCAGCAGCCGCGGUAAAACGUAGGAGGCGAGCGUUAUCCGGAUUUACUGGGCGUAAAGCGCACGCAGGCGGCUCCGUGAGUCGGACGUGAAAGCUCUCGGCUUAACCGGGAGAGGCCGUUCGAUACUGCGGGGCUUGAGGUAGGGAGAGGAAUGCGGAAUUCCCGGUGUAGUGGUGGAAUGCGUAGAUAUCGGGAGGAACACCUGUGGCGAAAGCGGCAUUCUGGCCCUCACCUGACGCUGAGGUGCGAAAGCGUGGGUAGCAAACAGGAUUAGAUACCCUGGUAGUCCACGCUGUAAACGAUGUCAACUGGGUGUCGGUAGUUUUACACUAUCGGUGCCGAAGCUAACGCG